Long non-coding RNA from Aedes aegypti (yellow fever mosquito), 1463 nucleotides. RefSeq lists it as uncharacterized. The transcript is spliced from 5 exons. The record is from RefSeq and is a predicted model, not a curated record. NCBI's taxonomy places the organism in Eukaryota, Metazoa, Arthropoda, Insecta, Diptera, Culicidae.
AUCAACACUCGGAGCACUCGGCGGAGGUCGUCGCUGUUUUUCCUGUUCGAGAUGCGAAACCUAGCGGAUGUGUGCCGUUUGGACUCCUCUCUUUCUCUGCUUGCUGGGCGAACGACGACGGAGACUAUCGUUGAGUUCGCUCGCACGGGUGAUGAGCCACGAUCAGUCGGUUCGGGCGGAAGAUUCCCAUAAGUUCCCAGUGUGAUCAGUUCCAGUGUGUAGUGUGCGUUUGGACUCCGUUGUAUGCGCGAUUAAUUGGAGUUAAUUGGAUUAUAGUGAUUGAGUUUUGUCCAAUUGAUUGACUUUCUAUUUUGGGCUGCUUUUGUCACCUUUUUUGGUGUGUUUAUUCGGAAACGUUACAUUUCUCUAGUUUUCGUUCGCAACCAAGUGCCAAGUGGAAAGGACUGUAGAAAGCAGCUCUAGUGCACCGACCGUGAGUUUCGAAUAUGUGAUGUUGUGUUCACCCAUAAUUGAAGUUAAUUGAAAGUUUGACUUUUGUACUCGAUGACGGUUCAAUGCUACAGAUAGUGCCGCUGUUCGUUCCAAAUGAAAUAGUACACCCAGUCGCUUGAUUGGAUCAAUUUGGUAAACUCGUGAGCUCCCCACAUAGAAAACUAGGACUGUUCGCUGGAAUUCGAGUGGAGUUUAAAAGGCAAAAAUGUGAAAAAGACACUUGUUGGUUAGUUAAACGGAGAAUAUGUGUGUUAAGGAGAGACGGCCCUCAGACGGAAAGACAUUCCUACACAAAGUGGUGACAUUGAAGAGCAAAUAAGAACAUUAAUAGAAGCACGAUAAUAAAUUCCUCACGAUCUGGGAUACAGCAUUCGCUGAAGAGACGGGACGAGAGUAAAGGAGCGCCUGCUGAAAAACACUAUAAGCACGUGUUUCCCGUUUCCUACGUGACACAUUUUCACCGAACGGACGCAAUCGUCGAUUGGUUGGCAACACUGGCUCCCCUUCAUCAGCUGUGAGCUCACAGACAGAAUCCGCCUUAUCUUUACAUCGGAUAAAUGUGGAAUUGAAAACAUCCUUGAAUGAGAAAUACUGAGGAAUCCCGAAAUAAAUUCAAAACAAUUUCUAUCGGACUUAUGGAAAUCCUAGCUGCACCUCUGUCGUGCGAGAACAACUAGAUACACCAGCACUUUGCAGUUCUUACUGAGAAUCAGAGUGUUUUGUACUUCAGCUUAUGACAAAUAGCCGAACAACCAUUUGAACAAUGAGACGAAACUCAAUAGAAUGAAGAAUGGAAUCAUCAAUGAUGCUCUUCCACGGGACACAAUUGUCUCACAGGUAGUAUUGCGAAUCAUGUGCGGUGUUCCUAUACCAACUAUCAUGUGAAAGUAGCGGAACCAUUUUUUUGCAAAUUGUAUUCGGAACGCCGAGAGUUUGUUUAUUUUCCGUUUUGCACGUUUUGCUGGGCAGUGCUUCGCAAAGCCGAGAAGUUUCGCUUUCACGUUGUGCGA